This 67-nucleotide transfer RNA is filed under the name Desmophyllum pertusum. RNAcentral describes it as "tRNA-Thr". The record is from RNAcentral. Lineage: Eukaryota; Metazoa; Cnidaria; Anthozoa; Scleractinia; Caryophylliidae.
GGGCCUCAGUUGGUAGAGCAUCACACCGGUAUCGCGGAGGUCAUGGGUUCGAAUCCCGUUGUAAACC